Molecule: non-coding RNA, 1662 nt
Organism: Meleagris gallopavo (turkey)
Lineage: Eukaryota; Metazoa; Chordata; Aves; Galliformes; Phasianidae
Source: RefSeq, a predicted model, not a curated record
UCCUGAAAAAUAUGUUGACUGCAAGAGGGAAGAUCCAGCUUCCUAAUUAGCACAAACUAAUAUGCUACGUUCUGCAUGCAUACAUACACUCACAGUAUCUUCGCAGCUUAGAUUUUGUUCUCACUAUCCAUACAGAUACCACAGAUUUGAAUAUACUCGUAAAACAACUGUACCUUUAAACCAGGGAGUGGCAGGGCCAAAGAAUAUUUUAGAACUCUUUCAGCAAAGCAAUUUGAAAAAUUUAAAUUCUACUGUUUCCAGUAGUGUUUUCUUUUUCUUCCAGAAAAAUUAAUUCAUGUUACAAUUUUAUUUGCUGAUUAAAGCCCUGUUCUGGAUAAGAAAGCUAAGAAAUGCAGUGCUUGAUUGUUUUACAAAUGUCUGUUUGAUGCUGAAGUAUGAAAAUGAAUAUGUCCUCAUCUGACCAGAGUAGUCAUCCAUCAAGAGAGAAACAACAGGAGAGGCAUCAGCAAGCCCUGACUUUCAGCUGACUCACACUUCCCAAUGUGAAACCUUCUUCCCCACACCUCUGAGCCUGACAGUGAUGCUGAGACUUACUUAACUGGGAUAUGCUUCUAGUCUGGGGAGCAUUCUUUCUUUAUCACAAAACUCUCUCUUUGUUUGCUGAGAUAGAAGUUGCUAGCACCUUUUUCUGUCUUUGCCUACAUUUUCCAAAUUAACUCUGUAGCAUAUUACCAGUAAUGAAACAGAUCUUGCAACUCAAGUAGUAGCAGCCACUUGUACAGCAAGUACAUACAGGUGCUACAAGUGGGAGCAGAAAUGGGGCCCACAUUUGCUUACUUGAUUUUUUUUCUUAAUCAUUCACAUGGAUUGAGACUGUCAAGUGGAAGCAAUGCGUAAAUAAUACAUAAAUUAUUAAAAAAUAACGGGCUGAUUUCACUACGUCAACAAGUGUACAACCGCUUCCUCUGUGCCAGCAGAACAGACUUAGACUCAGUCAUACAAGGCCGUAGAGGAUCUGCUGAACUUUGGCUGACAUAUUGUUAUCCUGACUGAAAUUUCUUUUGCAGGAACUUGAGUAUCUUAGUUCAUUCUGCUUUAAGUGGCAGCAAAUUUUCUCCUGCCUGAUCUCAGAAGAAAAGAUUUUGCUGGAUGGAAAACUUGCCCCAGCAUGUGGUACACACAAAGGGCACUGCUGCUGUGUCCUGGCUCCGUGGAGAGGACUCGCCUGACUUGACUGACUUACUCAUAUUCGACAAGCUUCUAGUUCAGUAUGAACUGCUGCUAUGACUUCAGUGCCUCUGAUGAGGAUUGCUGCAGGAACUGCUUGGUCCAUGCCCUCAAAUGCACAAAUGCUCAUACUUCUCCAGUCUGCAUCAAAUUCCUGCAAUCCCAGCUAGUAGACCAUCAUCUCCAUAUGCACAUAUGUAAUGCUCAAGGCAAAUCUGUCGGUGGGCAGAGAGCUCCAGGAAAGCAUCUUCCAACCUCAAGCUCCAGGAAAUCCAGGACCUCAUCUUCUUUGCCCAUGAUCCCUGAAAGGAAACCUUCUGCUUUCACAUGACUUCGAAGGAGGACAUGAAGAAAAUGCGAGGGGAAAGGACAAGCAUAUGCCACACAAUGAUCUCUUAAGGCUUCAAAGAUACACUGCACUCACAUUUAACUCAAGGAUGCUCACCCUCACAGAUGCAAAUCAGCAAUUUAGAA